Molecule: ribosomal RNA, 441 nt
Filed under: uncultured bacterium
Lineage: Bacteria
Description: bacterial SSU rRNA
Rfam family: Bacterial small subunit ribosomal RNA
Source: RNAcentral
GACGAACGCUGGCGGCGUGCCUAACACAUGCAAGUCGAGCGAAUGAAGUUCCUUCGGGAAUGGAUUUAGCGGCGGACGGGUGAGUAACACGUGGGCAACCUGCCUCAUAGAGGGGAAUAGCCUUCCGAAAGGGAGAUUAAUACCGCAUAAGAUUGUAGUACCGCAUGAUACAGCAAUUAAAGGAGCAAUCCGCUAUGAGAUGGGCCCGCGGCGCAUUAGCUAGUUGGUGAGGUAACGGCUCACCAAGGCGACGAUGCGUAGCCGACCUGAGAGGGUGAUCGGCCACAUUGGGACUGAGACACGGCCCAGACUCCUACGGGAGGCAGCAGUGGGGAAUAUUGCACAAUGGGGGAAACCCUGAUGCAGCAACGCCGCGUGAGUGAUGACGGCCUUCGGGUUGUAAAGCUCUGUCUUCAGGGACGAUAAUGACGGUACCUGAGG